Molecule: unclassified non-coding RNA, 2427 nt
Filed under: Melitaea cinxia (Glanville fritillary)
Lineage: Eukaryota; Metazoa; Arthropoda; Insecta; Lepidoptera; Nymphalidae
Description: misc RNA ENSMCXG00005012397.1
Source: RNAcentral
UUAUUAUAUUUUUCAUUGCAUGUCAAAUGCCAAAAAGGCAGAUUGCAAGUAGGUUGCAAAAAAAAACUAUGUUUUCCCAAUAUUAUAUAUCAGCUAUCAUUUGAAAGAUUAUUAAUGAUAUAUUUAUAAUGAUAAUACAAAAUGCAGGCAAGUAAAUGCAGUUUUACAAAAUGAUACAAUGUUAUCAAAGAAUGUUAGUUAGUUAUGAAAAGCAAAUAGACGCAUUCUCAAAGUCUUGUGUCGCCAUGAUAAUUUAAAUUAUCCUUACAAAGCUCGAAUCGAAGCUCCAAUCCUUCUCCUACAUGGAGAAAGAGGCUUAUGCCAGCAGUGGGAUAUUACAGGCGGAAUUUUAUAAAGAUUACCUGGAAGGAAUUUAGAAAAGAUAUUGACUAUAUUUAAAAAUUACAUCCUGGUAUGUGGUAGAUUGUCACUAAAUAUAUAUUCCUAAGGUGGCUAUGGUGGUUCUUGAUAUUAUAUUUAUUAGUGAGUUAUCAGUAACACUUACUGAUCAUUGGUACAAUAUAUAUAUAUAUAUAUAUAUAUAUAUAUAUCUACAAAAUAUUAUUGUUUUGCAAUAGAAUAAAACUUAAAGGCUAUUAUUAGAAUAACGAAUGUACGCGUUGAACAAUAAAACUAUCUUCCUGUAAAUGUGUGAUGUGUGAUAAACGUUAACGAAAUUAAAACGUUUCUGUAUAUUAUGCACAUGUGUGACUUUUUUGUUAUAUGUCUAUCAGCGAAAUUAUAACUUGAUUUAUAAGCAAUACGGUCGCUUUUUGUGUAGCCUAAUAUAUUUUAACUGCCAAUGCCUAAAUUCAUUACGGUAAUGUGUUCAGUCAAUGUCAUCGAUGUUAGUACUGGUAUGGUAUUGACCCUUAGUACUACAAAAUGUAUUCACUAACUUGUGUCUUUACCGUAUCAGACACGUCGCAGUGGACUGGUUCCUAUAUCCAAAAACGAUUCGUUAAGUUUAACUUACGGUUUUUUUACUUUAAUUUACGAUUCGUUAACUGUACCUUACGUUACGGUAACUUUCUAUUUUGUGACCAAAACGAAUCGUUUUUCAAUACAGAAACGUGGCUUAAGAUUGGCAAUGAUUGAAUACGCUUAGAUCUUCUAAGAAGUAUUUUUGUAAAAUCGUUAGUUGAAAAUUGUAAUACUGUAAUUAGAAAUGUAAUGUAAAAGACAUGCACCUCAUAAAAAUAUAAAACGCUAGUGCACGAUCAUAUAUAAAAUAUAAAAACUCACGUUUAUUUUAUUACUAAUACCUAAGAGACUAAAUAGUAAAAAAUAAAUUUUAAUUUUUAUAUAAAUUUUAGCUUGAAUUAGAUUGUUAUUCAAUGAUCCUUAUUAAUUAAAUUUAUGUUUAAACAAAUAUUGACGUUAUUCAGGACCUGUUUCACUAGUUGUGGAUUAAAUUUAACCUGCGAAUAAGUUUCGAUUAAACUAUAACAGUAGGAGGCAGAAUAGACAAUUAGGGCCUGUUUCACCUCAAUUAAUAAACUACAGCUUUCAGAUUCAUUUUUGCGAAUAGAAAUAUAAAUACAGUGGGAUUCGAUGGUGAAAAAUAAUAAUACAUCAAAAACUUUCUAUUGGAUAUCAUCAUUCGUCAAAUAUCGUUAUCCACAAAUGGUGAAACAGGCCCUCAGUCUUUCAGAAAUAAGUCAUUAAUAUACCUACCUACAUGUUAAGAUCUAGCAGGCAGCUGUAUCACUAAUAUGGCUGCCAAAGUUGACUUAUUCUCUUUUUUUUUUUUUUUUUUGAAUUAUGAUACUUGAAGUGUUGUAAAAUAUUAUGUUAAAAGGGGUGAAUACAUUUAUUAUUAUAUAUAUACUUUAUUGCACUAAAAAUAAUGUACAGAAAAAUUAUACAAAAAGUUGAUGGCAAAGAUGGACUUAUCUCUAGAAGAGAUCUCUUCCAGUCAACCAAUGUUCAUGAGAGAGAGUGUCAUAUAGCGGGGAACACAGUGCAAGAAUUAAUAAAAUAUAGAAAUAUAGAAAGAAUAAUUAUUAUUAUUUAUCUAAAAGUAAAUGAAUUGCUUUUCUUUAGUUUUGUAAAAGUGACACAAUAAUAUCAUUUCUUUUAAUCAAUAGAUAUCGAAUCUUUUUUUUUUUUUGAAAUGACGUGAGUAAAUUAUAACACCAAAAUAUAUCUUAUUCUGUAUUCUUUAGCUGCACGCCUUUGUAAGUGACUAGUGUAGGCGUAAACUUGGCUUUAUGCUAGAGGUAUUUUUAACAUUGUGAUAUACGAUAUUUCGUUGCUUUACUUGUUGAUUUGUUUAUUAAAUAUAUCUUUAUAUUCAAUGUUGAGUUUUAUUUUUGUCCAAUGAAAUGUUACGAACCAAAAAUUACCUUGUUACAGUAGGCUUCGAAAACACUGUUGAAUGUUCUUAGUACAAUUGUUUUUGCUAGCAAACGAAAAAAAAACCGA